UACGUAGGUGGCAAGCGUUGUCCGGAAUCAUUGGGCGUAAAGAGCGUGUAGGCGGCCCGAUAAGUCCGCUGUGAAAGUCGAGGGCUCAACCCUCGAAUGCCGGCGGAUACUGUCGGGCUAGAGUCCGGAAGAGGCGAGUGGAAUUCCUGGUGUAGCGGUGAAAUGCGCAGAUAUCAGGAGGAACACCGAUGGCGAAGGCAGCUCGCUGGGACGGUACUGACGCUGAGACGCGAAAGCGUGGGGAGCAAACAGG
This 253-nucleotide ribosomal RNA is filed under the name uncultured bacterium. Its description in RNAcentral is "partial 16S ribosomal RNA". It matches the Rfam family "Bacterial small subunit ribosomal RNA", at positions 524 to 776 of the family's 1533-position model. The record is from RNAcentral.